UGGGGAAUAUUGGACAAUGGGGGAAACCCUGAUCCAGCAAUGCCGCGUGAGUGAAGAAGGCCUUAGGGUUGUAAAGCUCUUUCGCCCGCGAAGAUAAUGACGGUAGCGGGAGAAGCAGCCCCGGCUAACUCCGUGCCAGCAGCCGCGGUAAUACGGAGGGGGCUAGCGUUGUUCGGAAUUACUGGGCGUAAAGCGUACGUAGGCGGAUGCGCAAGUUGGGGGUGAAAUCCCGGGGCUUAACCUCGGAAUUGCCCUCAAAACUGCACGUCUUGAGACCGAGAGAGGUAAGGGGAAUUCCUAGUGUAGAGGUGAAAUUCGUAGAUAUUAGGAAGAACACCAGUGGCGAAGGCGCCUUACUGGCUCGGUACUGACGCUGAAGUACGAAAGCGUGGGGAGC
This 397-nucleotide ribosomal RNA is filed under the name uncultured bacterium. RNAcentral describes it as "bacterial SSU rRNA". It matches the Rfam family "Bacterial small subunit ribosomal RNA", at positions 355 to 769 of the family's 1533-position model. The record is from RNAcentral.